CGCUGGGCGGCGUGCCUAACACAUGCAAGUCGAACGGGGUACCUUCGGGUGCUUAGUGGCGGACGGGUGAGUAACGCGUGAGCAACCUGCCUAUCAGAGGGGAAUAACGGCUGGAAACGGUCGCUAAUACCGCAUAAUAUACACUUUAGGCAUCUUUAGUGUAUCAAAGAUUUUAUCGCUGAAAGAUGGGCUCGCGUCUGAUUAGCUAGUUGGUGAGGUAAUGGCUCACCAAGGCGACGAUCAGUAGCCGGACUGAGAGGUUGAACGGCCACAUUGGGACUGAGACNCGGCCCAGACUCCUACGGGAGGCAGCAGUGGGGAAUAUUGCACAAUGGGCGCAAGCCUGAUGCAGCAACGCCGCGUGAGGGAAGACGGUUUUCGGAUUGUAAACCUUUGUCUUUGGUGAAGAAGAAAGUGACGGUAACCAAGGAGGAAGCCACGGCUAACUACGUG
RNAcentral lists this ribosomal RNA (453 nucleotides) under uncultured bacterium. Its description in RNAcentral is "bacterial SSU rRNA". It matches the Rfam family "Bacterial small subunit ribosomal RNA", at positions 38 to 507 of the family's 1533-position model. The record is from RNAcentral.